AUUGAACGCUGGCGGCAGGCCUAACACAUGCAAGUCGAGCGGAUGAAGGGAGCUUGCUCCUGGAUUCAGCGGCGGACGGGUGAGUAAUGCCUAGGAAUCUGCCUGGUAGUGGGGGAUAACGUCCGGAAACGGGCGCUAAUACCGCAUACGUCCUGAGGGAGAAAGUGGGGGAUCUUCGGACCUCACGCUAUCAGAUGAGCCUAGGUCGGAUUAGCUAGUUGGUGGGGUAAAGGCCUACCAAGGCGACGAUCCGUAACUGGUCUGAGAGGAUGAUCAGUCACACUGGAACUGAGACACGGUCCAGACUCCUACGGGAGGCAGCAGUGGGGAAUAUUGGACAAUGGGCGAAAGCGUGAUCCAGCCAUGCCGCGUGUGUGAAGAAGGUCUUCGGAUUGUAAAGCACUUUAAGUUGGGAGGAAGGGCAGUAAGUUAAUACCUUGCUGUUUCGACGUUACCAACAGAAUAAGCACCGGCUAACUUCGUG
RNAcentral lists this ribosomal RNA (484 nucleotides) under uncultured bacterium. Its description in RNAcentral is "partial 16S ribosomal RNA". It matches the Rfam family "Bacterial small subunit ribosomal RNA", at positions 30 to 507 of the family's 1533-position model. The record is from RNAcentral.